ACUGUAUGUCACAUGAAAGGGCAGGGGUCUUCAGAUUGCUGAUGUUCCCUCAGCCAUAGACCAUGCCCACUUUUGACGUGCUCUAGCCAAAGCUGCAUGAAAAUAUUUUUCAGUCCCUACUGGAUUUUUCUCUUAUGAAUGGUUAACAGUGCAGGUUCUGGAACCAAACUACCUGGAUUCAGAUUCUGGCUCUGCCGUUUAUUCGCUGUGUGUUGACCUUGAAUGAGUGAUUUAACUUUUCCGUGCCUCAGAUUCUUCAUCUAUAAAAUGGGCAUUAUGACAUAACACACCUUAGAGGAUUUUUUAAAAGAUUAAAUGGGUUUCCAGAUAUAAAACGUUUAGAAACUGUCUGCCACAUUAAGUAUUCAAUAAUUGUGAGCCCUUUUUAUAGUUUGUCAGUAUUGUUUACUCCUGUUCUGGUUUUGAGGAUCUUUAGCUUCCAUCCUCUACCUGCAUUCCUAGUGUUUUUUUUUUUCUCCCUACUUCUUAAAGUUGUGCUCAAGGUUUGGUACUUGGCCCCUUCCUCAUGCUUUUCACUUUUUCUGGUUGUGUCUGUUAGUUUGUCUUCUUAUUCUGCCUCCAUGAAUCACAGGUCAUUGUUUUCUAAUCAUACCCAUGUGAGUUCUAAACCAAUACAUAUUUGCAGUUGUCUUUUCAUCACAUAUACCUGGAUGUUUCGCAGACACUUUCGACUUGGCACAUCUGAAUUCAUCACUUUUUCCCAAAUCUGAUUGUCUCAUACUCCCUUGAUGAAAUGAUGUAAUAAUCCCAAAAUGAAUUAUUCUCAAUUCUACUUUUACCUCCCAUUGAUUACCAAGUGUCAGCAUGUCAGAUUUUUUAAUACUCCUUAGUACUAUGGCUGAUGAGGUCCGUCAUCUCUUAGUUUGACUGUUAGAUUUGUCCCUGAGUAGCACUGUCUUUGAUUUUGCCCCUGAAAUUCAUCUUCACACUGUUGACAGAAUAAUCUUUUAAAGUGGUUUGUUUUACAUGUCUGUCUUCCACUGCUGGACUGAGCUCUUAACAGGAGAUUGUAUCUCUUGUUUUUGUAAUCCUAGCACCUGUUAAAAUAACUAGCAACUUAGAGGUGCAGUCUUGCAGGUUUUCUGACCCUCCAGUCACCCUAGACCUGCACUGAUACAGUUUUCGUUAGCCAUUUAAAUUUAAAUAAAAUUGAACAUUCUGUUAAUUAGUAAUACUAGCUAUAUUUCAAAUGCUCAUAGCCACAUGUUACUGUUGACUACUAUAUUGGACAACAUUUUAGAACAUUUCGAUUAUCAUAGGAAGUUUCAUUGGACAGAGCUGCCCCAGCAGACCUUUGCUGAUGUGGAUGUCUUUCUGUAUUAACAUCCUUUUAACAUUCAGACACCUCCCAAAUGCUAACCUUAAUAGAUUGGCCUUCAGCAUUUAUGUCUCUCUAUCUUGAUCCUGCAAUUGAUGACUUUACUAUGUCUGCUCUGCAGAGAGCACCACUACCAGCAUGUGUCCAAUCAGGAAAGCCGACACUACAUAUUUCAACAGAGGAGAUGUGAGUACAGAGGCAUUAGAGAGUAACCCGGGGAUCACAACUGUAGGAUGCAGCUACUAGUCCUAAGGGUAAGAAAACAAAUGGGAAAAAAUUGGGGCUGCCAGAGCCUUAAAGCUCCAAAAAGGGUCAUCAUGGCAUUAGUGCUCAGACCCCUGAGGAGGCUUACCACCUACCUGCUCAUGGUAAUUCUGAGGGGUAAAGUAACGACAGUUCUAGAAGUUUCGAAGUAGUUGAAGGCUGGAAUUUGCUGCCGUUAUUACAAAGCUGAUAGGACUAGCCAUCAGAGAUGAACUAGAUCUUUUUUCAUCUUCCUGCCAACUUCCCUGUAGUACUUCCUACUGGCAGAACCUAAUAAGCAGCAGUCAGAGGGGUCAGAGAAGUGUAGUUUGCAGAGUCCCGGCCUCAGCACACAGAGCAGAGGACAGAAGGGUGGAAUUGGAGCUGAGAAACAAUAGAUGAAGAACCAGCACACUGGUUUCCUUCAAAGACUCAUUUUUAUCUAAAGGUAUUAGUCCCUAAAACGCCAGAUACUCAGGAAUUUGUAGAGAAAUUCUGGGCCCUCAAGAAUAAGUGUACUAGUUCGAAUUGAAAUCUUGUUACUCUUUUCUGUUAAACGAGACUGUAAUGCUGCUAUAUAGUGCUUAACUUUUAAAAUUGACAGUGGAUGAAUCUGCAUAUUAUAGUCAGGUGUUCAUGUCCAUCCAUUCAUUUAUUGAGUGCCUACCACAUGCCACACAAUCUAUCAGGUGGUAUGUAUAUAAAAUAAAACUUAGAUAAUAAGACAAAAGUAAUAAUUCACCCAAAUUCAUCUAUAAAUCCAGACUUAGGGACUGUUGACAUUUUUGUGUUCGUGCCUGUGGACAUCUUUCUGUGCAUAUGCAUGUACACACAUCACAAUAUCAUAAAAAGUUUAUAAAUGCAGAUGUUUCCAAGAAAGUGUGUAUUCAUCUACCUCUCUCCUGCUGUAUAGUAUUUGAUUAUAAGGAGAAUGCUCCAUUACUAUUUACCUGUGGACAUAGAGCAUAGGCUGCUACAUAUGUCUCUAUAUACUUUAUGCACUUUGUCUUUCCACUAAAAUUUCUCAAGGUAUAAUUUCUGUCUGGGUCACUGAAUAUGUAGAUUUAAAAUUUUGAGCUACAUUUUUCAAACUGCCCUUCACCAAAGAUGUUACAGUUUACACUGCCACCAAUAGUACAUGAGACUGUUCUUUCAUACAUUCAAUAACAGAAUAUUAUUGACCUUUAAUUUGUUUGAUAGCCAAAAGUGUGUUCUUCGCAUUUCAAAAUUUUUAGUGAGAGCAUAUUCCAAUAUGUUAAUUGACUAUUUGUAUUUCUUGUAUAGUUAACUACCUGUUUACAUCCUUUACACUUUUUCUUUUGGGUGUUUAUGUCUGUAACUUGGCAGUAGCUCAUAUUAGGAAUCAUUAUUAUACACGUUGCAAAUAUUUUUACAAUUAGUUUAUUUAUUAUUGCAUUAUAACCAUGCUUACGUAGUGGUGCUCUACUAUUUCUGCCUUAGGUAUAAUGUUUAGAAUUUUCUCUGGUCAGGGUUAUAAAAAUACUCAUGUUUCUCCUGAUAUUUUUAUGAUUUCAUUUUUAGAUCAGUCUUUAAUGCAGUUGACAGUUACAUUAAAGUAGUGAAAUAGUCAACAUUUUCUGUCAGUAUUAUCUGGUUGUCAUAAUACCAUUUAUAAAAUAAUUCCUGCUCUUCCUCAUUGAUCUAAAAUGUAACUUCCACUAGAUAAUCAUAUUUAUGUUUGAUAUUUACAAAUACUAUUCAGUUCUAUUUUGUCUGUUCAGCUACUUUCACUGAUUUAAUUAUUGUUGCUUCUUGUUUGACUAUAUAUUUAAAAUAUUUGUUUUAUAACUAAUACAAGGUUUCAUACCUAAUAGGUCAAGUAUUACUUCCCAACACAUACACCCUUAUCUCUUUCAUAAUUCCAUACUCUUUUACAGAUAAACUGUAGAAUUAUUUAAUCUUCCUUCAAAUACAGGUUCUAUUGGUAUUCUGAUUAUAAUACAGGAUACAUAGAUACAUACGACAUUGCAUGGGUCACAUAAAUUGUGGCACCUUUUCAAUAUUAAUAUUCUUAUUCAUAAAGAAUAUUGUUUGUCCUAUUAGGUUCAUAUGCCCCUCAGUAAAGUUUUUAGAUUAUUUUUCUUUAGUCAGGUAUCUUAAUGUGUUUUAAUGUUCUUGUAUUUAUGAAUGUGCUCCUUUUUUCUCCCCCUUUACAAAAAUGUUUUCUAAUUGAAUAUUUUCAUUUUUUAAAUCUCAGAACCUCUUCACACAAAUUAGUAAGGGCCUCAGAGAACUUUUAUGUUGGCAGAUGCUGAUUGAUCUAAUCUCGGCUUGUGGAGGACGAACCUCUUGCAUACACUUACCCAAAUAAUUUACUGUGAUUAGGUUUCUUAGGUAUACCGAUGCAAAAACAGAACGAAAUUCAUCUUGCAAGCAACUGUCUCUCAUUAUAGGUUAGUAAAUGAGUGUUUUGUUUAAUAAACAUAUCUAUUAAUUUUAUUAAUCCAAACUAGUUCACCUAAUAGUACUCAAAAUAGCAAAGAUAAAUGGUUAAGCUAGAGGCUUCCCUAACAUGAAAAUUGACUAAUAAUUUUGUUAAAUGUCUCUAUGCUGUCACCAGUGUGUAUAUAUUGGCCAUUCUUUUGAUCACUUUAUUGAUAUAUUUUGCUUGCAGUUGAAAAAAAGAUAGUUAUACUUAGAUAACUUGAUUGCUGUCUUCUAAAUUCCCAGUAGGUGGUGUCAUAAUACUGUAUUUAGGGAUUUUUUUUUAUUUAUUUAAUAAAGUGGAAAAAGAAAGUGCAAAUGUGUUUACUUAAGUAUAUGUACUUGCAUUUUAAAAGUGUUUUGGUUUUAUUAUGAGAUGACACUGUUAUAAACAACUUAAUUCCUUAUAUGUUUCUUCAAUUCACAUUUUUACUAGAAAAUAUGUACUGACAGUUUUAUUCUUUUAUUCUCUAGAAUGAUACAAAACUACCUAGUCAAAAGAACAA
This 4533-nucleotide long non-coding RNA is filed under the name Homo sapiens (human). RNAcentral's name for it is "non-protein coding lnc-USP25-1:1". The record is from RNAcentral. Lineage: Eukaryota; Metazoa; Chordata; Mammalia; Primates; Hominidae.